GAUGAACGCUGGCGGCGUGCCUAAUACAUGCAAGUCGAGCGAACAGACGAGAGUGCUUGCACUCUCUGACGUUAGCGGCGGACGGGUGAGUAACACGUGGGUAACCUACCUAUAAGACUGGGAUAACUUCGGGAAACCGGAGCUAAUACCGGAUAAUAUUUAGCUUCGCAUGAAGCAAUAGUGAAAGACGGUUCUGCUGUCACUUAUAGAUGGACCCGCGGUGUAUUAGCUAGUUGGUGAGGUAACGGCUCACCAAGGCAACGAUACAUAGCCGACCUGAGAGGGUGAUCGGCCACACUGGGACUGAGACACGGCCCAGACUCCUACGGGAGGCAGCAGUAGGGAAUCUUCCGCAGUGGACGAAAGUCUGACGGAGCAAUGCCGCGUGAGUGAAGAAGGUUUUCGGAUCGUAAAACUCUGUUGUAAGGGAAGAACAAGUACGUUAGUAACUGAGCGUACCUUGACGGUACCUUACCAGAAAGCCACGGCUAACUACGUG
This 499-nucleotide ribosomal RNA is filed under the name uncultured bacterium. RNAcentral's name for it is "partial 16S ribosomal RNA". It matches the Rfam family "Bacterial small subunit ribosomal RNA", at positions 28 to 507 of the family's 1533-position model. The record is from RNAcentral.